RNAcentral lists this ribosomal RNA (400 nucleotides) under uncultured organism. RNAcentral's name for it is "bacterial SSU rRNA". It matches the Rfam family "Bacterial small subunit ribosomal RNA", at positions 45 to 433 of the family's 1533-position model. The record is from RNAcentral.
GGCCUCAUACAUGCAAGUCGAGCGCGAAAGUCCGCAAGGAUGAGUAAAGCGGCGCACGGGUGAGUAACACGUAGGUAACCUACCCUUUAUUGGGGAACAACCUGUCGAAAGACGGGCUAAUUCCGCAUACGUCCAACGGACUUCGGUUCGUUGGAGAAAGAUGACCUCUUCUUGAAAGUUAUCGAUAAUGGAUGAGCCUAUGUCAGAUUAGCUAGUUGGUGGGGUAAAGGCCUACCAAGGCAGUGAUCUGUAGCUGUUCUGAGAGGAUGAUCAGCCACACUGGGACUGAGACACGGCCCAGACUCCUACGGGAGGCAGCAGUGGGGAAUAUUGGACAAUGGGCGGAAGCCUGAUCCAGCCAUGCCGCGUGUGUGAAGAAGGCCUUAGGGUUGUAAAGCAC